AUGGGUAAAGCAAGGCAGUGUGCCAAAACUCAAAUAGUUGAGCUAUUUUACAGAUCAUGAGAGAACAAUCUAACAUAAAAGAAACUAAUUGAUAAAAAACAGAACAUAAACCAGAUUUGCUAGAGAAAACACAUGAACGAACUAAUCUAAUGGAUACUUGAACAUGACAAUAGAAAGCAUCUCCAAAGUUCAGCAAACUCACAAAUCAGACUAAAAGAGUCAUAGUCCUCAACUUAUACAUAUUAUCCUAAGCCUAAGAACACUCUUAAAUCCAAACAGCAUUCAAACAACACCCCAAAUCCAAACCUUAAGACGAAAUGUAAUAUUAAUAACAUGAAUGAAAUAUACAUAGUAAAGCUAAACUAAAGGAUACAUGGACAAAAUAUAACAGAUUCGAGCAAUUAUUUAACAACAGAAAACUAGCAUUUGUCAUUUUUCUCCAACUUUGAUUACAUGGCUUUACAUUUGCACUUCAUAUGCUACUCAAGAUCCAAGGCAUACCUAGGAAUCAAAACAAAACAAUGAGGAUGAGGGAAUAGUAGCAGCAGCAGCAAGACAACAGCAAUAUAACAGUACAGAAUCAGCAGAUCAGCCUCAAACUCUCGACCCAAUUCCAAACAUUUUAAACCCAGAUGCACUAUUCCAUUGAACUUUUGAAAUUCUGACUUAUCAAAGGGAAUUAGAACCAACAACCAAGCAAAUUUUGAGCAAUUUUCAGUAUUUGGAGUUUGAAAGAAAACUGAGUCGUUUCUACGUUUUUCAGUGUUUUUUCAGUCUCUAAAAUCUGACUGGAUUAGGAAGUAACAACCUUUUAUAGAGAAGCUCUAGGGCAGCAGAAAAUGGUUCAGAUUUUGCCCAUUACUCCUUUUCAAAUUUUUGUUUUUGCUAGUGAAUCCCUGAAUUUUUAACGUGUUUGCUAGGUCAGUCCCUUUUCCACUUUCGAGGAAAUUUCCUAAGUCAGUUAUGAGAGAUUCCCUAAACUAAAAACCCUGAAUUAACCUUCAAGCUUAUGUUAUUUACCUUCAAGACCACAUGGGUCAAAUUGACCCAAAGUUCAGCCCCAAACCUGGGCUUGCAAAAACCCGGACUGACCCCUCCUUUUUGGGCCUCUGUUUGACAAAGCCCAAAUCCCAUUCAAAAUCAAAACUCACAAAAUUAAUGGGCUAAAUUGAGUUUCCAAAAUCAGAGUUCUUUUAAAAAAUGAAAUAAACAAAAGAGCAUGGAUUCAUUGAAACUAACACAAAAAUUAAAAACAAACAUGAACUAACAAGUUUUAUAUUUUAAACAUGCAAACAGAGACUAAUUCGAAACAGAAGAGUAGUGAAGAAAAAACAAAAAGGAAACAGAAAAAUAGGAAGAAUGGGGAGAGAAGAUAACAAAGGCGAGGAAAGAAAUGGAACAGAGGUACCUAAAACAGAUGAACGUUUGACUUGACAGAACUCCAGCGUCCCCGAUUUGACCCAAAAUUUGUAUUAAACGCAUGUUCAUCCUGAGAACAAACGAAUAAUACUAGUCUUAGGCUUAAUUUUUCCGGAAACUCGAAGACUUGGAAGAAUUUUCCAUUUUUCUUCUUCUCUUUUUUUUUAGAUCCAAAAACUGGCUGGAUUUGGUGAUGAUUUUGGGGAUAUUAGUGUUAGAGUUGUGUUUCAAGAGGUGUGGGAAUUGUGUGGUUCAAGUUUGGGGUUGAUUGGAAGCCGCAGCCGGCCAGAGAUGAUGAAAGAUUUCAAGGGCGGCGCUAGGGUUGGAGGGUCUAUGAAGGAGGAGAUGAAAUGAAGAGAUGAAACAGG
RNAcentral lists this long non-coding RNA (1787 nucleotides) under Nicotiana tabacum (common tobacco). RNAcentral's name for it is "long non-coding RNA (NTAB_LNC003668)". The record is from RNAcentral. Lineage: Eukaryota; Viridiplantae; Streptophyta; Magnoliopsida; Solanales; Solanaceae.